RNAcentral lists this unclassified non-coding RNA (882 nucleotides) under Hevea brasiliensis (rubber tree). Lineage: Eukaryota; Viridiplantae; Streptophyta; Magnoliopsida; Malpighiales; Euphorbiaceae. The record is from RNAcentral.
GUGGGCAAAAAGAACAUGCCAACUGCAUAGUUCCCAGGUGGCGGCAGCUCGAACCCAAUAUCCUUAGCAACCUCCUUGCAGAAAUCGUGAGGAAGGGCGACAAGAAUCCCAGCUCCAUCACCGGUAUUCGUUUCACACCCACAAGCACCUCUAUGCGACAUGCGUGUCAACAUCUCCAGUGCAUCGGUCACUGUUUUACGGCUGCUGUCACCAGAUAAAUCAGCCACGAAUCCGACCCCACAAGAGUCCUUAUCAAAUGACGGAUCAUAAAGACCAAGGGGUUUCUCCGGCACUCCGGACAAUGCGGAACGAACCACAACGCGAAGCUUUGGGGACCGUCCGGGACCAUCCGAUUGCCAUAAAUGAAGCCUCUCCGUUCCAGGAGCCCACAGUUUGGUUCCGAAGAAAUGCUUCUCCACCACAGUCGAUUUCUUGGCAGCAGAGCAUCUUGUAGUUCUGUUAUUCCGGCGAGAUAAGGGAGCAAUAACAUUCAAUUUAGGCGAAAUGGAAGGUUUACUGAUGGUUGAAAGAGCAGAUGAGUGAGCUCGGGGCUUCAGGAGAGAGUUGUAUGUCGUCGACAUUAUUAACUAACCAGGAGGCUAACAGAAAUGCUCCGGGUUUUUUUUUUAAAAACAAAAGAUAAUAGAUAGAGAUGAAAGCCCCAAAAUUUGGCGAACUUUACGGGUUCGAACAACUGUUCUNGUUCGAACAACUGUUCUUUUUUUCUUAUAGAAAUUUGUUUCUAUCAAUCAGAACUCUGUUUUUGAGCUCUGUAUAUGAAAUUCCAGCAGAUAUGAAACACAGAGUUUCAGAUCAGAAACCUUAUAUCAGAGAUCUGCAAGAGCUCUUUAUCUAUCUACAGCUUUUAGGAGAUUUUGAAGC